AUGUUUAAUUUAUCUGUACCCAAGCCAAGGAGAGGGCCAGGAGGUGAUUUGAUCAGAAAAAUGUGGUGCCGGCGAAACCGCGGUGGAGGAGGUUGUGCGCGAUGCUGUCCCUCUCCUGCUUGGCGGUCUCGGAGCGAACAGGGGUCUCCGGCGUGGUAUCGUCGUCGAAAAGCGCAAACGGGACCUCCGGCUCGAGCUCCUCGCGGCGCAUCUCGCAGAUGUUGUGCAGGACGCAGCAGGCGCCCAGCACCACGGGGAGGUCCUGGAGCUUCACCUCCGUGCGCUUCUGGAGGCAUGCCCACCGCGUCUUGA
RNAcentral lists this ribosomal RNA (312 nucleotides) under Triticum aestivum (bread wheat). Its description in RNAcentral is "partial small subunit ribosomal RNA". Lineage: Eukaryota; Viridiplantae; Streptophyta; Magnoliopsida; Poales; Poaceae. The record is from RNAcentral.